CCCAGCUUUACAAAACAACAGUUCUAUUAAAUCGUAAAUACACCAAACUACUAUUGAGUACAAAAAUAAGAAGAAGUGGCAUGCUUGCCAAUGUAAAAACUCUCCAUCUGAGACCAAGUGACGUAGAUGAAUUAUCUGUUGACGAUAUGACCCUAUGUGACCUUUUUCAAUGAUAUCAGAUUUAAACGACGGUAGAAAUGUACUGUCCAGAGACAAAUAACCUUUGUCAUAAAUUAGUCUAUUCGUUUCAUUUUCGAUGCUUUAUAGAUGUGAAAAGUUUUGUCCAAACCUUUUUGUUAUGGUUUACCAUUACCAAUCGUGGGCAUGAUGAUACACCGUACUUGUUUACCUUAUGCCUUUUGAUGAUUUUGAUUUUGUUGUAAGUCCUCAUAUCUUUGCUUUUUGACUUUCAGCAUACUUUAUGAAAUUUGUAUCUAAAACACUUUGUAGAUUUUUGUCAAAAAUGUUUAAAUGGCUAAUAU
Molecule: long non-coding RNA, 482 nt
Filed under: Mytilus galloprovincialis (Mediterranean mussel)
Lineage: Eukaryota; Metazoa; Mollusca; Bivalvia; Mytilida; Mytilidae
Source: RNAcentral